GCCAGGUGUAGUGGUGUGCACCUAUAGUCCCAGCUACUCAGGAGGCUGAGGUAGGAGGAUCACUUGAGCCCAGGAGUUCGAGGCUGCAGUGAGCCAUGAACAUGCCACUAUACUCCAGCCUGGGUGACAGAGUGAGACCCUGUCUCAA
RNAcentral lists this small RNA (148 nucleotides) under Macaca fascicularis (crab-eating macaque). RNAcentral describes it as "Metazoan signal recognition particle RNA (ENSMFAG00000065074.1)". Lineage: Eukaryota; Metazoa; Chordata; Mammalia; Primates; Cercopithecidae. The record is from Rfam by way of RNAcentral.